This 117-nucleotide ribosomal RNA is filed under the name Clostridium sp. 'deep sea'. The record is from RNAcentral. Lineage: Bacteria; Bacillati; Bacillota; Clostridia; Eubacteriales; Clostridiaceae.
UAUGGUGGCGAUGGCAGAGGGGAUACACCUGUACCCUUACCGAACACAGAAGUUAAGCCCUUUAGCGCCGAUGGUACUUGGCUGGUGACGGCCUGGGAGAGUAGGACGCUGCCAUAU